Long non-coding RNA from Tribolium castaneum (red flour beetle), 2085 nucleotides. RefSeq lists it as uncharacterized. The transcript is spliced from 3 exons. Lineage: Eukaryota; Metazoa; Arthropoda; Insecta; Coleoptera; Tenebrionidae. The record is from RefSeq and is a predicted model, not a curated record.
CGUAUGGAAAAAAUGGCUAGAAUCAGCGAUUUUAAAAAGAAAAACCAGGUUUUGGUGCCUGAAUUGGUCAUUCAAGAAGCUUCAGAAGCUAUAAAUAAAGUGGUGCCAGCAAAAUCUAAACAAUUAUACGAAAAAGAGUAUUCAAAUUUUUGUGAAUGGAGGGAGCGGAAGGAUGCAAAAGGAGUAGACGAGAGAAUAAUUUUGACUUAUAUUUCUGAACGAUCCAAAAAUGCAAAAUCUUCGUCAUUGUGGGCGUAUUAUUCCCAACUGAAGAAAAUGUUAUCUGUUAAAGAAAAUAUCGAUAUAAGCAGAUUUCAUCAGGUAUCUGCUUUCUUAAAACAACACUCUGUAGGGCACAGACCAAAGAAAUCUAAAGUCUUCAGCUUCGAAGAAAUGUAAAAGUUUUUAGACACUGCUUCAGAUGAUGAAUAUUUGCUGCAAAAAGUGGUUCCAAUUGUGGGAGUUUUUGGAGGCUGUAGAAUUGAAGAAUUAGUUGCCAUGUCAGUUGAUGACGUCGAUGAUCGAGGCAACGUAAUUGUGGUCAAUAUUCCUGACACGAAGACUUAUAAGCCAAGAACAUUUACUAUCAUCAAUGGAAGUAACUCUAUUCCUGCCAUUGAGGUUUUUCGCAAGUACAGAAAACUACGACCCGAGAGUAUUUUACACAAACGGUUGUUUAUCAAUUAAUGUAAACAGAAAUGGACAGUGCAACCAGUUGGGAUAAAUACAAUUUCAAAAUUUCCCGAAAAAAUUGCACGAUUUCUUUGUCUUCCAAAUCCAGAAGAAUAUACCGGACAUAGCUUUAGACGUUCAAGUGCAACUUUACUGGCAGACUCUGGAGCCGAUUUAGCAGUGGUAAAGAGACACGGAGGAUGGCGUUCAAAUAGCGUUGUGGAAGGAUAUAUAAAAGAUUCCCUUAAUAAUAAAAUUGAAAUUUCAAGGAAAAUCAUAAACCAUUCUUCAAUAAUCAUUCAGAAAUUGUUAGAUUAUUUGAAGACACCAGCUCAGUUGUUAAACCUAAACGUGUCUAUUUUCCUGUGCGACACAAUGACGCUUUGGUGCAAGUUGUGAGAAAUGCGGUAGAAGAAGAUUCUAAUGUUAGCACCAGGAUAAUAGCACGACAACAUAAUAUUAGCAAGAGUUCGGUCCAAAGAAUUUUAAAAUCAAAUAAAUUUCAUCAAUAUAAAAUAUCAUUACAUCAAGAAUUGCGUCCUGGUGACUAUGAAAGCCGAAUGGAGUUUUGCCAACACCUAAUUCAUUUAUUAUAGGAAAAUAAUGAUUUACUAAAUUUUGUUUUGUUUUCGGACGAAGCAACAUUUAAAAGCAACGGAUUGGUGAAUAGGCACAAUAUGCAUUAUUGGGCAGUUGAAAAUCCACGAUGGAUGCGACAAGUAGACCAUCAAAGAGUAUAGUCUCUGAAUGUUUGGGGCGGCAUUCUUGGACAAUUUGUUAUCGACCCAUUCUUUUUUGAUGGCCAUUUGAAUGGAGAGAUGUAUCUCAAUUUUUUGAGGAGAAGUUUGAUGGACAUAUUAGAAAAUGUCCCUUUAAACAGAAUAGGGCAACUUAUAUUCAUGCACGAUGGAGCUCCUCCCCAUUUUGCACGACGGGUUCGGCGCCACUUAGACCGACACCUACCGGAAAGGUGGAUAGGACGUGGAGGACCCUUGCACUGGCCAGCGCGCUUUCCUGACUUGACACCAUGUGAUUUUUUUCUCUGGGGUGUGGUUAAAGAAAAAGUUUAUAAAACGACACCCACAACUGUAGACGACAUGAAGGACCGAAUCAGAGCUGCUUUUGCUGAGAUAACACCCGAAACCCUCAUACGAGUGAAACGAAGUUUUAGAGACCGGUUGUUGCUCUGCUUGCAAGCAAAUGUCAAUGUGUUUGAGCAUUUAAUGUAAAAAUUCGUAAUUCUUCUAAAGAAGAUAAUUCGAGACAGUUUUUUAUGGUUGCACGCAGUUUUUUGUUUUUAACACGACUUUCUUGUUGCUGGUUGCUGCUAUUUAUUAUUGUUGUUUUACCAAUACAUUUUUUCGGUAAUGCUUUUGAUUUUUGUGGUUUAUUUAAACGUUACCUCGAACAUUU